This is a non-coding RNA of Momordica charantia (bitter melon), 2095 nucleotides long. The record is from RefSeq and is a predicted model, not a curated record. Lineage: Eukaryota; Viridiplantae; Streptophyta; Magnoliopsida; Cucurbitales; Cucurbitaceae.
CUUCAAUGACUUCGUUUUCUCUGUUUUUUUUUUCUCAUCGGCUCUCUUCUCCGUUUCAACCUCUGAAUCUCUUCUUCUGUUUUCUAUGGUUUCUGCAUCAUCCUUCAUCCUCUGAAAACAAAUGCUUCAACAAAUUGUGAAAUUUUCAUUGCUUCUCUUACAUACACUUYCUGCUUUCUUCAACGUCUUCGUUUUCUCUGUUUCUCACCAGUUCUCUACUUCGUUUCAACAUCUGAAUCUCUAUCUUCUGUUGUUAGGGUUUCUAGGGUUUUUGUAUCAGGAUUUGAUGCAAUUUAUGAAAUACAUCGUGAACUGACCGAAGUUACAACACCAUUGUGGUUCUUCUGAGGUUAGUCUGUUUUCUUUCGUCGUUUCCCCCAAGGUAUAAGCUAAUUUUAUCUUCCAUUUUCAGAUUAUUUUUUUUUAACAAUUAGGGUUUAUUGUUUUACAUACCGAUGAAAGGUGCACAGGAUCGUCGAAUGUCUCUGAACGGAUUUUGAAUUGAAGUAGGAGAAUAUUGAUAGAAUUUCACUCUCUUUUCGUUCGCCAGAAUUUCUCGAGCUAAGCCUGUGUGUUUCGCGGUCCCUACUUCCCGUAACUGAUUUUGAAACCUGUACAAGUUUUGUAACGAUUUUCCAUUUAGAGAGAGAAAAAUGCAUUUUUUUCUGCAUUGUCAUAAUAGGACCAUUAAAAUUUGUGAAGUAAUUUCAAUCCUUCGUUUGUUUGGAGAUCUUCUUACUUCGUAUAUCAGUACAAAUUUGGGUUUGAAAAAGCUACCACAGCUCAUACUUUAGGUAAUGCUCAAGUUUCCCCUUCAUACAUUUUACGUUACACCAAGUCAUUAAGGUUGGGUCCUCAAUUCUUCUUCUUCUUCUUCUUCUUCUUCUUCUUGUAAAAUUUAAAUAAUAAUAUCUAUGUAACUUCAAUCUACAUGCCAUAAGUCCAGAUGUAGUCGCUAAGUUGUUGGUUGGAUGAAUUAAUUUUCAGUGGUUGACUUGAAGAGGCUUGAAAUGCAAGCAAGAGAUGGACCAUCAGAUCCAAAUACUCUGGCCAAAUGGAGCAUUCUAAAUAGAUUUCAUGAUAGAAAUGAUAGAAUUUUGAUGAACUUAAUUGCAGGUGCUUCUAGUCAUGAACUCAUGAUCAAUGUUUGGAAGCAAUAAUGAAAACCUGCCGAAGGACCCCUUAUAACACCGAUUGGACGGUGAUGAAUAUUUGGCCAUUGCUGAUGAAUUCAUGGAGGUUGUAUUUACUCGUUGGCCACAUAUAUUUAGGAUUGCAUGAACACCGAUUGGAUAGUGAUGAAUAUUUUUCCACUAUUGAUCAAUUCAUGGAGGUUGUGUUUGCUAGUUGGCCAAGUGUUAUUGUUCUACUCUGGUCAAAUAAUUGGAUUUUCUCCUUCUAUUAUUUUAUAUUAUACUCUAUAAAUUAUGCAAUAAUUAUUUAACCAUUGUUCAACAUAUUUGAAGAUUUCCCAAACAAAUGGGCGUACAAAGGGCUUGUUUGUGGUCUGUGCACAUAUCAUUCUUUUCUAGUUAAUACAGUUACAGAAUGCUCAUAUACAUGUGAUGUAAAACAGAGACAACAUAUUCCAAAAUUAUGAGGAACUGGAAAAGAUUGCUGGUCCGUUUGCAAGGAAUAUCAAGGAUUCAGGGAAGGUGAAAGUCUAGUGGAAAUGGUGCAACAAGUGAAGCCUUAUUAUAUGCUUCUUGGACUGUAUGCAGUUGGUGGAUUGUUCACAUAGCUGGUAUUAAGCAUGGUUCUUGAUACAAAUAUAUUCUUUGGUUAUAUCGGAAGAUGAGAUAGAACGGAAAAACUGGGGUAAAUUGGACAAUUUACACAUUUCGUUUUAGAAAUUAUUUUUAGCUGGUCUAAUGGCCGGACUGGAUGGGACUUUUAAGGAAAUUUUAUUUUGUUUUUGUUUGGGAAGCCGUCCCUUGUAACUGAUGGGCCUCGGCCCACUUCCUUCCUAAAUUGAAAGCCUAUAUAGAAGGUAAUCUAGGGCAAAGAUUGUAAUCCUGAUCCGAAUUUGAUGUAUAAUUUGAUGAAAUUAAAAAUUUAUAAUAAACAUUGAUAUACAUCACCAAUUUUAUUGGAA